UUGUUUUGCUUCCUUUCCCUCGUCGCGCAUUUUACAUCUUCUUCAGUCGAUUUCGAUUUCUUUCACCAUUCUCGCUUUCCUGGUUUGCUCGAAGGCGGCCAUUAUAGAGAACUUGAAAGCUUGAAGAUUAAACGGAAUGACGGAGGACAAGCGGAACAUUCUUGACCAUUGUCGUCGACAGCUAGCUGCGAAGUUUGAGUUGAAGCGGAAGCUUUUCAAAGCCGUUUGCAAUGAUCCGAGUCUUCCCAACGAUGUGCGUGAAGAGCAUCGUUAUAAGCUGUCGAAAUUGCCAAGGAAUAGUUCGUUUACUCGACUGAGGAAUCGCUGCAUCUUCACCGGUCGACCUAGGGGUGUCUAUCAGCUUUUCCGUGUUUCUCGUAUCGUCUUCCGUGAUCUGGCAUCCAAAGGUCUUAUUAUGGGUGUCAAGAAAUCUUCUUGGUAGAUACCGGUUGAUGGUAGAGACUUCUAUCGUGGGGAUCAAUUAUCAUUGUUGGGUUGUUAUAUUUCUAAAAGAUUCUCAAUUAUAGACACUGGAAAGGGUGAUGUUAGUUGUAAGUUCCUUGGACAUGUGUAUUCAUGCCCGUUUACAUGUAUGACCAAAGAAGAGUUAAGGUUUUUUUCCUUAUUCAAUAAGGGUUUUCUGGUAGAUUGUUACUAAUCUGUUGUAUUGUUCUGAUUUAAAUGGUUAUUUUACCUGCCAUCGAGUUGUUUUGCACUAUCUUUGGUGACCAUUUCCUCUUUUACUGCAUUUUCAUCUGAGUUUCAGCAAAGAUGGCCUAGCAAAGAGUCGAUCUAAAUAGUAUAAGGGCUUAGAGUGAAUAGUUUCGAGCCCACCUUCCUAGGAUUUAAUAUCUUACAACUUACAAGUUAUCUGGACAACCAAAUGUAGCAGGGUGAGAUAGUUGUCUCGUGAGAAUAAUGGAGGUGCAUGUAAGCAGAUUUAACACAUGGAUAUUAAACAAUAAAUACUUCAUCUCCCUGCACUUUUGUCAAUUAUUAUCUUCAUUACAUAGAUGAUUGCUGAUGCAUAUGACAUGUGUAGGUUCAUCCCAUCUCAUUUAUAUGCUGUCUUUUUCAUACACAGAUUAUGUACUAUUGCCUAUCCAUUCCCAUAGAACUAUUGAGACAUUGAACCUAUGUCUACCAUUGUGAAUGCAGAGACUUAAGUUCAACUAAUUAAUAAUUAGCGCAAUUAGCGUCGGGCUUGAAUGUUUGUGUAGGGGGGGCUAAGCUUAUCAGUCGAGGCAGAUUCAGCUGGUUACAGGUACCUUAUGCAUAC
Cucurbita maxima (winter squash) is the source of this 1279-nucleotide long non-coding RNA. RefSeq lists it as uncharacterized. Lineage: Eukaryota; Viridiplantae; Streptophyta; Magnoliopsida; Cucurbitales; Cucurbitaceae. The transcript has 4 exons. The record is from RefSeq and is a predicted model, not a curated record.